UACUGGCAAUUGAGGAGUAAGUAAUAGC
RNAcentral lists this non-coding RNA (28 nucleotides) under Mus musculus (house mouse). The record is from RNAcentral. Lineage: Eukaryota; Metazoa; Chordata; Mammalia; Rodentia; Muridae.